Molecule: ribosomal RNA, 438 nt
Filed under: Triticum aestivum (bread wheat)
Lineage: Eukaryota; Viridiplantae; Streptophyta; Magnoliopsida; Poales; Poaceae
Description: partial small subunit ribosomal RNA
Source: RNAcentral
AUGACUAGGGAUAACCUUAGGAAAAGGCACAUCAUCAAGCCUCUUGACUGUGUGUUUUGUGCAGAUGAUGAAACCAAAUCCCACUUAUUCUUUGAGUGUGUAGUAGCUAGGAAUAUUUGUUCUUUUGUUGGUGAAUUCUCCCAAAUCCAGAUAGGCACAGACUUUGAGUCUGUUGCACGCUUCUGGGUCUCUAACAAGAAAAACUCUACUUUAAAUACCAUUAGUUCUGCUGUCUUGUGGUGUUUGUGGAAAUAUAGGAACUCUAUGAUUUUUAAUAACGCCAUCUGGACUUCUAUCACUUAGGUUUGGAGCCUGUUAAUCAGAAUGCUCAAAUUUUGGGUCGUCCUGUCACCGGAGGCGGGGAGAGCAAAAUUGGAGAGUUUCCUGAGCUCACUAACAAGAUUUGCUCAACAACCCCUGCAAAUACGGAGUGGCUGA